Molecule: long non-coding RNA, 1224 nt
Filed under: Equus asinus (donkey)
Lineage: Eukaryota; Metazoa; Chordata; Mammalia; Perissodactyla; Equidae
Description: lncRNA (ENSEASG00005027162.1)
Source: RNAcentral
CUCCCUCCUCUCGGGAUCCAGCCAGGCGGCGAGACACCUCCGCCACAGCCAGGAUGCGCCCCGCGCCGGGUCACCGCGGCGGAGAACGUCCAGCACUUCGCACCCCGGGGACCCCUCGGGAAGAACUCAGCUGGACCCGCACCGUGACCGCGGCGAGCGCGCCCCACGCCGCCGCCCGCUGCUCCGGGUCUUCCGUCGCCCCAGCCUCUCCGCUCGCAGUGUGACUGCAGCUCGCCAUUCUCCUCUCUGAGCUCGGGGAUGACCAGAAGAACACCACCUGCAGGCUGACGGUCAGGAUGAAGUAAAAGAACCCACUAGAAAAACACUCUCCCAAUGGCAGGGAUUCAUAACUUAACCUGUCAAAGUGCUGGACAAAUCCGAGGAGGAGUGGCGCAGCCCCCUCCGCUGCCCCGCUGCGUCCUCCCCGGCCCCCCGGCUCCCAGGAUGGCCUGUCAGGAACGGAGCGUCCACCAGGCAGAGGCAGCGUGCCCUCGCACAGAACGGUCUCUGCAGCGGAGGAGGAGCCUGCAGCGUUCCUCCACAGACAGCACCUUCCCCCGCCCCAUCUUGGGCUCAGAGGACACACAGCCCUUGUAGGCCUGCGAGUGGAUGCUGACCGACUCCGCGUUUCAUCUCAGAAAGGCGAGAUGGAAAGCACAGCCCUAUCAUCUGAGGCUCACCAACGCUUGCCGAACGGAUGGAUAAGAGAUCAGAUGCAGCCGCCACGUCAUGGACCACUGAGCUAUUGCAAGCAGAAGGGAGCGCCACGGUUCACACCUGCGGGCCUGCGUUCACCGCCUUAUCUCAGUUCACAGCAAACAUCAGCGAUCACCUACCUUGUCUCAGAGCUCACAUCUGAGGGCACAGGAGGGCCUAUGGGGCAGCGAGGCCAAAUAUCUAUAAUUUGACUUCGUUGUGAACUUUCCCACUCCUACCUUCUAUCUGAGGAGUGAUUAUGCUGGAAGGUAACCAGUUAUGCAGUCAGUAGUUGUAAAAUAAAAAUGAAAUUGGCUCUCUGUAUUUAGUUUCCAAAAUUAUGUUAAUCAGAAUGAUCUCAUUUAAGCUUCACAACAACCUUGGGAGGUAGGUAUGAUCAUCACCCCAUUUUACUAUUGAGCAAACUGAGGCUCUGAGAGGAUAAUCAACUUCUCUGGUACCUGGCAGAGCGGGACUUGAAGCCAGGUCCGGAGCCCAGCCGACGGGACAGGCCUGGGAAGCACGGAG